This 253-nucleotide ribosomal RNA is filed under the name uncultured bacterium. Its description in RNAcentral is "partial 16S ribosomal RNA". It matches the Rfam family "Bacterial small subunit ribosomal RNA", at positions 524 to 776 of the family's 1533-position model. The record is from RNAcentral.
UACAGAGGGGGCUAGCGUUGCUCGGAAUCACUGGGCGUAAAGCGCACGUAGGCGGCUUUCUAAGUCAGGGGUGAAAUCCUGGAGCUCAACUCCAGAACUGCCUUUGAUACUGGAGAGCUUGAGUCCGGAAGAGGUGAGUGGAACUCCGAGUGUAGAGGUGAAAUUCGUAGAUAUUCGGAAGAACACCAGUGGCGAAGGCGGCUCACUGGUCCGGUACUGACGCUGAGGUGCGAAAGCGUGGGGAGCAAACAGG